This 381-nucleotide ribosomal RNA is filed under the name uncultured eukaryote. RNAcentral describes it as "partial 18S ribosomal RNA". It matches the Rfam family "Eukaryotic small subunit ribosomal RNA", at positions 592 to 976 of the family's 1831-position model. The record is from RNAcentral.
CAAUAGCGUAUAUUAAAGCUGUUGCGGUUAAAAAGCUCGUAGUUGGAUUUCUGUCAAGGACAACUGGUCCGCCCUCCGGGUGAGCACAUAGUUUGGUCUUGACAUCUUGCUGGAAGCUGUUGCUGCACUUGGCUGUGUGGCGCAGUGUUCAGCACUUUCACUUUGAGGAAAUUGGAGUGUUUCAAGCAGGCACAUGCCUUUGGACACAGUAGCAUGGAAUAAUUAGAUUGGGCUUUUGCUCCAAUUUGUCGGUUUCUGGAGCUGAGGUGAGUAUUAAUGGGGAUUGUUGGGGGCAUCCGAAUUUAGCCGUCAGAGGUGAAGUUCUUGGAUCUGCUAAAGACGGACAACUGCGAAAGCGUUUGCCCAGGAUGUUUUCAUUGA